Callorhinchus milii (elephant shark) is the source of this 86-nucleotide long non-coding RNA. RefSeq lists it as uncharacterized. The record is from RefSeq and is a predicted model, not a curated record. The transcript is spliced from 3 exons. NCBI's taxonomy places the organism in Eukaryota, Metazoa, Chordata, Chondrichthyes, Chimaeriformes, Callorhinchidae.
AGCAGAGAUUAAAGACAUAGAAAAAGAAAUAGAAGAGUGUAAAAAGCUCACAGUCCUGGCAGAGCAAGAGGUUGUUGCAGAGGACG